Molecule: ribosomal RNA, 459 nt
Filed under: uncultured bacterium
Lineage: Bacteria
Description: partial 16S ribosomal RNA
Rfam family: Bacterial small subunit ribosomal RNA
Source: RNAcentral
CCUACGGGAGGCAGCAGUGAGGAAUAUUGGUCAAUGGGCGAGAGCCUGAACCAGCCACGUCGCGUGAGGGAAGACGGUCCUAUGGAUUGUAAACCUCUUUUGCCGGGGAGCAAAAAGCGGUACGUGUACCGCAUCGAGAGUACCCGGAGAAAAAGCAUCGGCUAACACCGUGCCAGCAGCCGCGGUAAUACGGAGGAUGCGAACGUUAUCAGGAUUUAUUGGGUUUAACGGGGGGUGAGGCGGCGAGUUCAGGCAGCGGUAAAAUUUCGGGGCUCAACCCCGACAAGCCGUUGAAACUGGCUUGCUAGAGUGGGCGAGAGGUAUGCGGAAUGCGUGGUGUAGCGGUGAAAUGCAUAGAUAUCACGCAGAACUCCGAUUGCGAAGGCAGCAUACCGGCGCCCAACUGACGCUCAGGCACGAAAGCGUGGGUAUCGAACAGGAUUAGAUACCCGUGUAGUC